Molecule: ribosomal RNA, 316 nt
Filed under: Pristimantis zeuctotylus (Sipaliwini robber frog)
Lineage: Eukaryota; Metazoa; Chordata; Amphibia; Anura; Strabomantidae
Description: partial large subunit ribosomal RNA
Source: RNAcentral
GUAAUUACUUGUCUUCUAAAUAAAGACUACACCACGAGAACUAAAMUGUCUCCUUUUUCUAAUCAGUGAACCUAAUCUCCCUGUGAAAAAGCAGGGAUUUAAUAAUAAGACGAGAAGAUGGAGCUUUAAACACGUUUUUAGUUGGGGUGACUACGGAGUAAACCUCCGCGAUGAAACAGCUUUAUACAUCAGCAAACUGACCAACGAACCAAGUUACCCUAGGGAUAACAGCGCAAUCCCCUUAGAGAAUCGACAAGGGGGCUUACACCUCGAUGUUGGAUCAAGAUGUCCUAGUGGUGCAGCAGCUACUAAGGGU